ACGCUCGACAGUGUCAGCAGCCGCGGUAAUACGAAGGGGCUAGCGUUGCUCGGAAUUACUGGGCGUAAAGGGACGCGUAGGCGGAUCGUUAAGUCAGAGGUGAAAUCCCAGGGCUCAACCCUGGAACUGCCUUUGAUACUGGCGAUCUUGAGUAUGAGAGAGGUAUGUGGAACUCCGAGUGUAGAGGUGAAAUUCGUAGAUAUUCGGAAGAACACCAGUGGCGAAGGCGACAUACUGGCUCAUUUAC
This 247-nucleotide ribosomal RNA is filed under the name uncultured bacterium. RNAcentral describes it as "partial 16S ribosomal RNA". It matches the Rfam family "Bacterial small subunit ribosomal RNA", at positions 488 to 740 of the family's 1533-position model. The record is from RNAcentral.